AGGCAGCAGUGGGGAAUAUUGCACAAUGGGCGCAAGCCUGAUGCAGCCAUGCCGCGUGUAUGAAGAAGGCCUUAGGGUUGUAAAGUACUUUCAGCGGGGAGGAAGGUGAUAAGGUUAAUACCCUUAUCAAUUGACGUUACCCGCAGAAGAAGCACCGGCUAACUCCGUG
RNAcentral lists this ribosomal RNA (169 nucleotides) under uncultured Proteus sp. RNAcentral describes it as "partial 16S ribosomal RNA". It matches the Rfam family "Bacterial small subunit ribosomal RNA", at positions 346 to 507 of the family's 1533-position model. The record is from RNAcentral. Lineage: Bacteria; Pseudomonadati; Pseudomonadota; Gammaproteobacteria; Enterobacterales; Morganellaceae.